GGCCAUGCGCUAAAAACUUUUCCUUCUAUUAAAAACCAACGAAAUUUAUUUUAAAGGUUUAAGCACAGGUGCGACCAUUCUGUNGGCCUUGUGCUGAAACCUUUCCCCGUUUUACAAAGACAUCGAAACACUAAAACAUCCUUUUUCAAAUAAACAAACAACCUCUCAACUAGAACUACGUAACCCUGAUUUCUCAUUUUGAGAAUACGUAGGAGCAAGGUCAAUCCUUGUCGGGCACAUAAAAAAUAAAAAAUAUUUUUGUUUCUUUAGAAUUUUAUUUUCUGGGAUAAUUAAACAUUUUGAAAAACCACAUCAAGUAUGCGCAUUUAAUUAAAGGUACUGCCUUAGGGCAGGCGUUGUAGGGUGCUAACACCUUCCCUACACGUAACCGACUCCCGAAACCAGAAUUUGGUUCUCAUAGACUAAGCCUUAUCCUUUUUAUGGUUUUUCCGUAGUUUCCCAAAAUAAACUAUGGUGGCUACUCCAACUCUUUUUUUUUUUCUCAAAAUUGUUUCCUUUAUGGAUCGUCGUCCCGUCGCGAUUCCGGUUGCGACAGGUACAAUGCUAACCAAGCUCUUAGUACAAGAUCGAGGAGGGUGAUGGACUUCAACAAAGUGGGAAGAGUACUGAUGUUGAGCUUUAGUGUGAGCCUAAGGUUAAGGGUGAGAAUGUGGUUGUGGUUAAUGAUGAGAAUGAGGAUGAUGUUAAAUUUGAGGGUGAGAGUGAGGGUAAAGGAGAAGUUCAAGCUAAGGGGGACGGGUAGUGUGAGGUUCAAUAUGAAAGGAGUGAUGAGAAUAAGGUUAAAGGAAACAUUAUGAAUGAGGGUGACAUUAAUAUUGAGGUUAAGGUAAUUAGGUUGAGUCUAAAGGAGAGUUUGGUUUUGAAGAUGCAAAUGAGUUCAUGAUAACGAUUUAAAAAACGUUAUUUUUAUACUUAAAAUUGAUAUCAAAACACACCCUUUAUGGCUUAGAAUGAGCUUAGAAUCAUGUAGACACUUAGUUUAGUCACAAGGGAGUCAAAAGUGGUUUUUAGAGGUAUUAUGCUUGUUUUUACAUUGUUUUAACAGGAUUUGAUGAGAAUUUAAGGAUGGAAGUAAAGAAGGGAGGACUUAGUCUCAAGAAAGGAUGAGAAAAGAAGCAAAAGAAGACUAAGGUCCACCGCUCAGCACCAAUUCCAGCGCUGAGCGCUAGCUUAGAGGAGGGAGUCACUGUUUCUCAUCCUGCGAUUCUGAAGACCUAGCGUUGAGCGCCAAUUUCCACCGCUGAGCACCCUACGAUUAUGAGGGAAACCGUUGAGCAGUCAAAUGGGUGCUAAGCGCCUAAAUGAUGGGUCUGGGCCGAAAUUCUGUUAUUUUUCUGUGUUAUAAAUAG
RNAcentral lists this long non-coding RNA (1370 nucleotides) under Vigna radiata. Its description in RNAcentral is "long non-coding RNA (VRAD_LNC016705)". The record is from RNAcentral. Lineage: Eukaryota; Viridiplantae; Streptophyta; Magnoliopsida; Fabales; Fabaceae.